AAACAACAAAUCAAAUUUAAUUUCUCGAACACUAUACACAUGUAUAGUAUACAGGUAUAUACAAUUCAUACUUAUAUCUGCAAAUAACUCGAGUGUGCACAU
Molecule: long non-coding RNA, 102 nt
Organism: Melanotaenia boesemani (Boeseman's rainbowfish)
Lineage: Eukaryota; Metazoa; Chordata; Actinopteri; Atheriniformes; Melanotaeniidae
Exons: 3
Source: RefSeq, a predicted model, not a curated record